Long non-coding RNA from Hibiscus syriacus, 452 nucleotides. RefSeq lists it as uncharacterized. The transcript has 3 exons. Lineage: Eukaryota; Viridiplantae; Streptophyta; Magnoliopsida; Malvales; Malvaceae. The record is from RefSeq and is a predicted model, not a curated record.
UCUCUUUUUUUAGAAUUUUGUAUCUCCAUUUGUGUUGUUUUGAUUAUCUGGCAUUCGGAUCUGAUGCUGGUUAAUGUUUUGAAUUGAUUUAUUUCGGUUAAAUAUGAUUUUCUUGGUAUCUUGUUCGAAUGGAUCACGUUGGCUAUAAUUGAACUGCAAAUUCAAUCUGAAUUUAGGUUUUUAAUUGAAUUAUAGGACAGAUCCGGUGCUUUUCUCUUUGGUUUGCUAGCAAGUUGUGAAAAAGGAAAGGAAAACUGAAAUUGAGAUUCGAUAUAUAGCAUGGUAAACAAUAAAAAAAAAGUAAUAUCGUUUGGUUAUUGUAAUUAAAUUGUCGGAUGAUUUAGCGAGUGGGAAUUUCCUUUUACAUAUCCCUUACUUGAAGAAUUAAGUCGGAUACUGCUAGGAUUGCUUAGAAUCUCUGGAAUUAUUUUGAUUUCAACGUUACUAAAUUA